Molecule: unclassified non-coding RNA, 253 nt
Filed under: Hevea brasiliensis (rubber tree)
Lineage: Eukaryota; Viridiplantae; Streptophyta; Magnoliopsida; Malpighiales; Euphorbiaceae
Source: RNAcentral
AGUGUUUAUUUGACCAACCACACCAGGUUCUGGGUCAGGAUCAUGCAAAGCAACAUGCUGCCCUAUAAGCAUACGGAUUCCAAUUCUUGACAUGUAAAAACGGUCAAGAAAUUGAUGAAUUUCUGCAAGCUCGCUGCGCACAACCUUAGGAUUCAUAUCUUUCUUCAGCUGUUGUACACCUAAAGCCAUUGCUGGAACCACAUUGUUGUGCCUCACUUUUAUCAUCUUUAUCAUUUGAGUGAAAGCCAGCUCA